This 425-nucleotide ribosomal RNA is filed under the name uncultured bacterium. Its description in RNAcentral is "partial 16S ribosomal RNA". It matches the Rfam family "Bacterial small subunit ribosomal RNA", at positions 354 to 796 of the family's 1533-position model. The record is from RNAcentral.
GUAGGGAAUAUUGCACAAUGGAGGAAACUCUGAUGCAGCGACGCCGCGUGAGUGAUGAAGGCCUUCGGGUCGUAAAACUCUGUGAUAAGGGAAGAUGAUGACGGUACCUUAUCAGAAAAGACCGGCUAACUUCGUGCCAGCAGCCGCGGUAAUACGAGGGGUCUACGCGCUGUUCGGAAUCACUGGGCGUAAAGCGGGUGUAGGUGGCUAUGCAAGUUGGAUGUGAAAGCCCCGGGCUCAACCCGGGAAGUGCAUCCAAAACUACGUAGCUUGAGUGCGGGAGAGAAAGGCAGAAUUCCUGGUGUAGUGGUGAAAUACGUAGAUAUCAGGAGGAACUCCGGUGGCGAAGGCGGCCUUUUGGCCCAGCACUGACACUCAGACCCGAAAGCGUGGGUAGCAAACAGGAUUAGAAACCCGAGUAGUCC